Molecule: ribosomal RNA, 173 nt
Filed under: Exiguobacterium sp. KKBO11
Lineage: Bacteria; Bacillati; Bacillota; Bacilli; Caryophanales
Description: partial 23S ribosomal RNA
Rfam family: Bacterial large subunit ribosomal RNA
Source: RNAcentral
GUGCGGACGGGAUAAAUGCUGAAAGCAUCUAAGCAUGAAGCCCCCUCCAAGAUGAGAUUUCCCUUUGAGUAAUCAAGAAAGACCCCUCAGAGACGAUGAGGUAGAUAGGUCACGGGUGGAAGCAUGGUGACAUGUGGAGCUGAGUGAUACUAAUCGGUCGAGGCCUUGUUCUA